Molecule: ribosomal RNA, 506 nt
Filed under: uncultured bacterium
Lineage: Bacteria
Description: bacterial SSU rRNA
Rfam family: Bacterial small subunit ribosomal RNA
Source: RNAcentral
AGCGAACGUUAGCGGCGGGCCUAACACAUGCAAGUCGAACGCGAAAGGUCUUCGGACUGAGUAGAGUGGCGCACGGGUGAGUAACACGUAGGUAAUCUACCCUUUGGCGGGGGAUAACGUUCCGAAAGGAGCGCUAAUACCGCAUAAGACCACGGAGUCUCCGGACGCUGUGGGAAAAGGUGGCCUCUUCUUGAAAGCUACCACCGAAGGAUGAGCCUGCGUCCCAUCAGCUAGUUGGUAAGGUAAUGGCUUACCAAGGCGAAGACGGGUAGCUGGUUUGAGAGAAUGAUCAGCCACACUGGCACUGGAACACGGGCCAGACUCCUACGGGAGGCAGCAGUGAGGAAUAUUGGGCAAUGGGCGAAAGCCUGACCCAGCCACGCCGCGUGAGUGAUGAAGGCCCUCGGGUCGUAAAGCUCUGUGGAGAGGGACGAAACCCUGGUUUCAAAUAGGCUCCAGGCUUGACGGUACCUCUUUAGCAAGCACCGGCUAACUCUGUGCCAGCA